GCUUACUUCAUCCAAAAUAAUAAGAUCAGAGUUUAUGGAGUUAAGUGUUUCAAAGUUUAAUGUUUCUUGUGCUGGGGGAGUCAAAGGGGAUAAAUUCUUUUCCAGCAUAGUUGGUCCUAAUGAUAGAGAAGAGCAGUUCAUGUUUAAUGUGCUUUUAAGAGGAAGCUGUUCCAGGAAUGGAUCCAAGUUUCCAGAGUUUGAUAUAUUUUUGCUGCUGUUCGAGGAAAACUUCCUCCUCUCAUGUGAAGAGAUAAGGUUUGUUGUUGGAGUUCUCUUUGUGAACAAGGAAAUUGGACUGGCCAGGUUUGUGAAAUGUCUCUGAACGGAUAUUCCAUGGUAGCUGAGAAGGGAUUUAUUUGCAAUUAUCCGUGCUGUUGUCUCAGCCGAUUUAAAGGUGCAUGGAAUUUGGAAACCACUCAAGAGGGAAUUAGCCCUACUAUAUUGCAGACAGGAAACUCGACAAAAUUUGCAGAGGCUAGCAAAGCGCUCAGUCAGAGCCAUUGUUGCCUGAGCAGAAGUGUAUUGGACCCUGUUGUGGGAGGAGAGCAGAAUGCUGUAGCCCAGAGGAUUACUAACUGAGUGUGAGCAGCUGUCAGGGCCCUGCCUAGACCUGGAAGCUGAGGUCUCCUGAGAUAAGAAUCAAGGGAAGAAGGAACUUCCAAAAGAUCUCCACGCUGCUAAUGAUCCUGAGGAGCCAUCAGAUCAAGACAGCCCUGCCCCAGGACUGGAGGUCCCCAAACCAGCUGCCUGGAUAUCUGCUUGGCUCUCUGUGUCUCAGUGAAGUGCCUGGCUAACCGACCGUGAAGCUACUUGGA
Molecule: long non-coding RNA, 815 nt
Organism: Rhineura floridana
Lineage: Eukaryota; Metazoa; Chordata; Lepidosauria; Squamata; Rhineuridae
Exons: 4
Source: RefSeq, a predicted model, not a curated record